RNAcentral lists this ribosomal RNA (433 nucleotides) under uncultured bacterium. RNAcentral's name for it is "partial 16S ribosomal RNA". It matches the Rfam family "Bacterial small subunit ribosomal RNA", at positions 29 to 507 of the family's 1533-position model. The record is from RNAcentral.
AACGAACGCUGGCGGCAUGCCUAACACAUGCAAAUCGAACGAGACCUUCGGGUCUAGUGGCGCACGGGUGCGUAACGCGUGGGAACCUGCCCUUAGGUUCGGAAUAACUCCCCGAAAGGGGUGCUAAUACCGGAUAAUGUCUUCGGACCAAAGAUUUAUCGCCUUUGGAUGGGCCCGCGUUGGAUUAGCUAGUUGGUAGGGUAAAAGCCUACCAAGGCGACGAUCCAUAGCUGGUCUGAGAGGAUGAUCAGCCACACUGGGACUGAGACACGGCCCAGACUCCUACGGGAGGCAGCAGUGGGGAAUAUUGGACAAUGGGCGAAAGCCUGAUCCAGCAAUGCCGCGUGAGUGAUGAAGGCCUUAGGGUUGUAAAGCUCUUUUACCCGGGAUGAUAAUGACAGUACCGGGAGAAUAAGCGCCGGCUAACUCCGUG